GAUGAACGCUGGCUACAGGCUUAACACAUGCAAGUCGAGGGGAAACGACGGGGAAGCUUGCUUCCCCGGGCGUCGACCGGCGCACGGGUGAGUAACGCGUAUCCAACCUGCCUCUGACUGAGGGAUAACCCGUCGAAAGUCGGCCUAAUACCUCAUGGCAUCGUCUGCGGGCAUCCAACGACGAUUAAAGAUUUCAUCGGUCAGGGAUGGGGAUGCGUCUGAUUAGCUAGUUGGCGGGGUAACGGCCCACCAAGGCGACGAUCAGUAGGGGUUCUGAGAGGAAGGUCCCCAACAUUGGAACUGAGACACGGACCAAACUCCUACGGGAGGCAGCAGUGAGGAAUAUUAGUCAAUGGGCGAGAGCCUGAACCAGCCAAGUAGCGUGCAGGAUGACGGCCCUAUGGGUUGUAAACUGCUUUUAUGCGGGGAUAAAGUGAGGGACGUGUCCUUCAUUGCAGGUACCGCAUGAAUAAGGACCGGCUAAUUCCGUG
Molecule: ribosomal RNA, 491 nt
Filed under: uncultured bacterium
Lineage: Bacteria
Description: partial 16S ribosomal RNA
Rfam family: Bacterial small subunit ribosomal RNA
Source: RNAcentral